GACGAACGCUGGCGGCGUGCUUAACACAUGCAAGUCGAACGGAAAGGCCCUGCUUUUGUGGGGUGCUCGAGUGGCGAACGGGUGAGUAACACGUGAGUAACCUGCCCUUGACUUUGGGAUAACUUCAGGCAACUGGGGCUAAUACCGGAUAGGAGCUCCUGCUGCAUGGUGGGGGUUGGAAAGUUUCGGCGGUUGGGGAUGGACUCGCGGCUUAUCAGCUUGUUGGUGGGGUAGUGGCUUACCAAGGCUUUGACGGGUAGCCGGCCUGAGAGGGUGACCGGCCACAUUGGGACUGAGAUACGGCCCAGACUCCUACGGGAGGCAGCAGUGGGGAAUAUUGCACAAUGGGCGGAAGCGUGAUGCAGCAACGCCGCGUGCGGGAUGACGGCCUUCGGGUUGUAAACCGCUUUCGGCUGUGACGAAGCGUGAGUGACGGUAAUGGGUAAAGAAGCACCGGCUAACUACGUG
This 468-nucleotide ribosomal RNA is filed under the name uncultured bacterium. RNAcentral's name for it is "partial 16S ribosomal RNA". It matches the Rfam family "Bacterial small subunit ribosomal RNA", at positions 28 to 507 of the family's 1533-position model. The record is from RNAcentral.